ACGGUCUAUUUUUUGAGUCCCUUCGUCUGACAGGGAAAGAUUGCAACUACCGCAACUCUCUUUACGUAGCGGGUGUCCCUUUGUGCCUCCCACUCCCUUCCCGGUCCGGGCUAAUCGAGCACCAUGGGGAACUACAUGCGACAUGGAGAUCAGGCAGGAGACACACAGCAAGCGAAAGAUGCACAUGAACUGAGGGCUAUUGCAUAUUGAAAAGCGGGGGAUGGGAGGAAGAGCAAGGAGAGGAACGAAACAACGAAGGGCUGCUGAGAACACCAGGAAAGCCAUCAUAGGCGCAUUCAAAAGCGUUUUUUCUUCGGCUAUUCUAAGGCGUUUCCUCGAUCAAAAUCCUGACUCUUGACCAAAUCCGAUGAAGAAUUCCCAGUCAAGCGAAUGGAAAUGCAAGAUCCAUUUAGCAAUACUACGCUACGUAGCCGCCUGCUGCUAAGCAUAACUAAGGCUGGCUCGCUUCGUGCGUAGUUCAGAAUUGAACCAUUCUACAGCAGCAAGCCGAGGAUGGAUGAUGACCUCGAAGAAAGCAACGUUCGACGAGCAUCUCGAUUUUCUAUUAUCCGCGUCAACCAAUACCUGCGAGUCAGUACCCAACAGGCAUAUCUAACUUGUAUCAUGCCCGACCGUCGUCACAUAUGUGCAUGUGGGUGGCUCGUGGAUGAUUGUUGAUACCGAACGCGGAGUCGACCAUCUCAUGGCAAGAGACCAGUCAGAGUACUGACUGUUCUUUAUGAAACGUUAUCAAUUCCAAAAAUUUCUUGACCCGACACUCUUCCCCACUUUCUGGCCUCUCCCCCAAGACUUUCGAAUACCUCCCACAUCACUCUCACACUACUCAGUAAUCCAUGUCCCUCGUUUUCCACAGCUUCCAGCUCAACAUCAUUCAUGCACCUUUCCAACCACCUCAUACUCCUUUCCGAUAUCCUGUCAUCUUCUCUACCCCACCAAAUCUUGACCGGAUGUGUUAUUUGGGCGUAAUCUACAAUGUUUUGAUUGCUGACAUUGUUCUUGUCGAGAAUGAUAGAGAGCAAGUCUGAUGUCGUUCCAGGCUCGCACUCUGCAUGCGAUGCCUGCAUGAGGGCGAGCAUAAAAGACGAUCCCUUUGGAGCUUUAGGUCGAUCUGGCUCGGAAGGUGUCGGGGAAGGUGAAGUAGUGGGGCGAAACGAAGAGUAAGAGGGAUUGAACUUGAUUGAAGAUGGGGGUGGCAUAGUCAUCGGCAUGGCAUCAAAACCUUCACCUAAACCAAAAUCGAGCUCGUCAUCAAAAUCAGGAUCAGAAUCGUUGCCUUCUUCUGGUAACGGGGAAGGCUGCAAUGAGCGGAGUAAUGGAGAAGCACGAGCAGGGUUGGUAUUAAUGGGGGAUGUAGAGAGGAUAUUUUUAGUAUGGGUGCGCAGGUUUUCGAGGGGACGGAUAUUCUUUGAGGGCCGGUGUCUCAUGGGAUCAUCCUGCCCUGGGAGGAUAUCCAUUGAUCGAGGUCCAAAAGUCUUGGACACUAACCUGACCAGGCUCGCUCCCUUGAUAGAUGUCGCUCUACCAACCUUUCCUCUUGAUAUUGACCCUUCAUCACCCUCGUGCACAGGGGCGUAUGCUCGCUUGGAAUUUGAGGACGGAGUAUAGUUAUGAGAUAUUGUGGCAUGUGCAUCAUGUUCGAUAGGUUUGUAUAUGAGUGGUGGGGGUUUCCCAAGAAGCAUUCACCCACGGUGCCAACAAAUGAACCUUUCCUCUCACUCUCUCGCUCAUCUCCAUCACAGUAGCCAGGGCAUACGGUGCCCCUGCACUAUGAGCGACCACCUGUACUUUGUCCAACUCCAUCUCAUCCAAAACCUUUCCCACUAUUUUUGCCCACUCAUUUACAUCCCUCUUGUCUUGUGGCACCUGAUCAGUUUUGCCUAGGCCCCAGCGGUCAAUGCAGAUAAGACGAAGGUUAAAUGCCCGGGCAAUGUCAUCAAAUAGAGCGAUGAGGUAACGCACGCACCCAAGUCCGAGAAAAAAGAGGACAGGGUGACCUUUAGGGUGCCCAGCUUCAGCAUAGGAUACACGUAAUGCACUCUCUGGUGAAUUUCGCGGGAUGAUGACGGUUCGAUUGAGAACUUUGUGUGACAGGGAAGCUUAAACGCUUGGAUGCACGAGAGGAAGGACGACGGUGUUUAGGAUGUUUAGUAUCAGACGCUUGAGAUCGUAGGGAUGUCACAGAGUCACGAUCAACUCCUUGAUCUAGAAGGGUUUGACCCAUGCGGACGCCUCUAAGGAAGCUAUCACCGCUGAGUCCUAGAUUGCUAGAGUUGGCUGUAGCAGCGGUCAUCGAUCGGGCCACGUUUCGGAUAGCUGGAGAAGGACAAGAAGGGAGUAAAAGUUGCUGCCGAUCCAUAGAAAGCUUAUUUCGUGGGAAGGAAUUGUGUCCCUUAGGUUGAGAUGGAUGAGGGCGUGAUGUAGGGAUGGCCGGGGACAAUGGGGGU
RNAcentral lists this small RNA (2465 nucleotides) under Cryptococcus neoformans H99. Its description in RNAcentral is "Cryptococcus neoformans var. grubii H99 hypothetical RNA". Lineage: Eukaryota; Fungi; Basidiomycota; Tremellomycetes; Tremellales; Cryptococcaceae. The record is from RNAcentral.